RNAcentral lists this ribosomal RNA (275 nucleotides) under Metanepsia javana. RNAcentral describes it as "partial 12S ribosomal RNA". The record is from RNAcentral. Lineage: Eukaryota; Metazoa; Arthropoda; Insecta; Diptera; Mycetophilidae.
GAUAAUCCUCAAUUAAUCUUACUUAAAAUUAAUAAUUUGUAUAUCGUCGUCAUAAGAAUUUUUUUAAAGAUAAAAAAUUUUCUAAAAUUUAAAUUUAAAAUUAUGUCAGAUCAAGGUGCAGUUUAUGUUUAAGAAAAAAUUAGUUACAAUAAAUUUAUUUAUGAAUAUUAAUUUUAAAUAAUUAAUUGAAAUUGGAUUUAUUUGUAAAUUUAAAUUAUAAUAGAAUUUAAUUGAAUGAAGUAAUAAAAUAUGUACAAAUCGCCCGUCACUCUCUG